Molecule: ribosomal RNA, 524 nt
Filed under: uncultured bacterium
Lineage: Bacteria
Description: bacterial SSU rRNA
Rfam family: Bacterial small subunit ribosomal RNA
Source: RNAcentral
GGCCUAUCAGCUUGUUGGUGGGGUAACGGCCUACCAAGGCGACGACGGGUAGCCGGCCUGAGACGGGCGACCGGCCACACUGGGACUGAGACACGGCCCAGACUCCUACGGGAGGCAGCAGUGGGGAAUAUUGCGAAAUGGGCGAAAGCCUGACGCAGCGACGCCGCGUGGGGGAUGAAGGCCUUCGGGUUGUAAACCCCUUUCAGCAGGGACGAAGCGAAAGUGACGGUACCUGCAGAAGAAGCGCCGGCUAACUACGUGCCAGCAGCCGCGGUAACACGUAGGGCGCAAGCGUUGUCCGGAAUUAUUGGGCGUAAAGAGCUCGUAGGCGGUCUGUUGCGUCCGCUUUGAAAUCUCGGGGCUUAACCCCGAGCCUGCAGUGGAUACGGGCAGACUAGAGGUAGGUAGGGGAGAAUGGAAUUCCUGGUGUAGCGGUGAAAUGCGCAGAUAUCAGGAGGAACACCGGUGGCGAAGGCGGUUCUCUGAGCCUUACCUGACGCUGAGGAGCGAAAGCGUGGGGAGCA